UACGUAGGGUGCAAGCGUUGUCCGGAAUUAUUGGGCGUAAAGAGCUCGUAGGCGGUUUGUCGCGUCGAAUGUGAAAACCCGGGGCUCAACCCCGGGCCUGCAUUCGAUACGGGCAGACUAGAGUUCGGUAGGGGAGUCUGGAAUUCCUGGUGUAGCGGUGAAAUGCGCAGAUAUCAGGAGGAACAUCGGUGGCGAAGGCGGGACUCUGGGCCGAUACUGACGCUGAGGAGCGAAAGCGUGGGGAGCAAACAGG
This 253-nucleotide ribosomal RNA is filed under the name uncultured bacterium. Its description in RNAcentral is "partial 16S ribosomal RNA". It matches the Rfam family "Bacterial small subunit ribosomal RNA", at positions 524 to 776 of the family's 1533-position model. The record is from RNAcentral.